RNAcentral lists this ribosomal RNA (253 nucleotides) under uncultured bacterium. RNAcentral describes it as "partial 16S ribosomal RNA". It matches the Rfam family "Bacterial small subunit ribosomal RNA", at positions 524 to 776 of the family's 1533-position model. The record is from RNAcentral.
UACAGAGGUCUCAAGCGUUGUUCGGAUUCAUUGGGCGUAAAGGGUGCGUAGGUGGCGCGGUAAGUCGGGUGUGAAAUCUCGGAGCUUAACUCCGAAAUUGCAUUCGAUACUGCCGUGCUCGAGGACUGGAGAGGAGACUGGAAUUCAUGGUGUAGCAGUGAAAUGCGUAGAGAUCAUGAGGAAGACCAGUGGCGAAGGCGGGUCUCUGGACAGUUCCUGACACUGAGGCACGAAGGUCAGGGGAGCAAACGGG